UCCUUUACCGCACACUAUUAGUCCUAAGGGACGAACAAAUGAAGCGAAAGAAAUUUGCCACCUUGGCAGGUGGAUCAACAAACUUCUUGUCUCUGCAUUUUUUCCAAGAAAAGCUUAUCGACUUUGAUAAAUGUGCGCCUGUACCGUAAACCGACACAGGUACGUGGGUUGAAUAAACUAAGGGGAGCGAGAUAACUCUCUCUAAGGAACUCGGCAAAUUGGCUCUGUACCUUCGGAAGAAAGAGUGCCCUUGCAAAAGGGCCGCAGUGAAGAGAUCCAGGCGACUGUUUACCAAAAACACAGGUCUCCGCAAAGUCGCAAGACGAUGUAUGGGGGCUGACACCUGCCCAGUGCCAGAAGGUUAAAGAAGUUGGUUCGUUUCGACAAAGCUGACGACUGAAGCCCUGGUGAACGGCGGCAGUAACUAUAACUGUCCUAAGGUAGCGAAAUUCCUUGUCGGGUAAGUUCCGACCCGCACGAAAGGUGUAACGAUCUGGAUACUGUCUCAGAGAGAGGCUCGGUGAAAUAAAAAUAUCUGUGAAGAUGCGGAUUACCUGCACGCGGACAGAAAGACCCUAUGAAGCUUUACUGUAACCUGGAAUUGCUCUCAAGCUUAUCUUGCGCAGCUUAGGUGGGAGGCUAUGAACCUUUUCUUCUGGGAAGAGGGGAGCCAUCAGUGAGAUACCACUCUUGGUAAGCUAGAGCGCUCAGUCUUCACCGUCAUCCGGUAAGACGACAGUUUCAGGCGGGCAGUUUGACUGGGGCAGUCACCUCCCAAAAGGUAAUGGAGGUGUACAAAGGUUCGCUCAGGCUGGACGGAAAUCAGCCAUAGAGUGUAAAAGCAUAAGCGAGCUUGACUGCGAGACUGACAUGUCAAGCAGAGACGAAAGUCGGUUUUAGUGAUCCGACGGUGCUGAGUGGAAAGGCCGUCGCUCAACGGAUAAAAGUUACUCUAGGGAUAACAGGCUAAUCUCCCCCAAGAGUUCACAUCGACGGGGAGGUUUGGCACCUCGAUGUCGGCUUAUCGCAUCCUGGAGCGGAAGUACGUUCCAAGGGUUGGGCUGUUCGCCCAUAGAAAGCGGUACAUGAGCUGGGUUCAGAACGUCGUGAGACAGUUUGGUCCAUAUCCCGUGUAGGCGUUUAGAACAUUGAAAGGAUCUCCCCUUUGUACGAGAGGACCAGGUGGGGACAAUCCGCUAGUGUACCAGUUAUCCCGCCAGGGGUAAACGCUGGGUAGCUAUGAUUGGAGUAAAUAACUGCUGAAAGCAUAUAAGUAGGAAGUUCACCUUAAGAUG
RNAcentral lists this ribosomal RNA (1295 nucleotides) under marine metagenome. Its description in RNAcentral is "bacterial LSU rRNA". It matches the Rfam family "Bacterial large subunit ribosomal RNA", at positions 1437 to 2806 of the family's 2925-position model. The record is from RNAcentral.